AGUUUUUCCCCUCCCAAAAAUUAACUUAGCUCUCUUUUAGGGUUUUCCUUCACUCUCUCUUUCCCUCCACUGCGCCACCAUAAUUUCUUGUAAUUUACUAGGUUCAUUCAUUCUAUUUAAGCAUUUUGUAGUUUGUUGAAAUGGAUUUGCGGAUCCCGUCGACACAGGAACAUGAGAUUGGGAUUUUGAGGGAGAGUUUGGAAGGGGGGAUGUGGUGUUCUACGUAAAGGCAAGAAAUAUCAAUGUCGUUGGUAGUUAGGAGAGAGAUUGUAUCGAUUUGGAAGAGAGAUGAAACUUCGGAGACUUUGAGGCAUGUGUCGGAGUGUGUAACCGAGUAAAUCGUUGCAUGUGUCAGAGUUUAUGCAUGGUUCAAUUGUUUAUUUGAGGUUUUGGUGAGAAUAAGUGGAAGAGUAAUGAGAGGAAUAUAGUGGUUCUCUGUAUUCUUUAGAAGUAUGAAGUUGAAGAAUUUAGGGUUUUUGAUUUGAAGAAGGUUUUGUGAAGUGGGUUUGACGAUGUUUAGGUGAUAAAGCUUGAAGCUUUAUUUUCGCUUCAAUGGUGGUUUUCCUAAACAAAAAUCAACAGAACUCCUCUUCCCUUUCGCUGUGUGCUGUCCAUCUACCUCCGUCAAUGGAAUUGGGAGCAAAUGGACUCGACUCUUGUGCCUCAUUUAUAUUUAUAUGAUUAUGCUAUUUAGAUCCAAAAUCUUUUUUAUGCAUUUUCAGAAUACGCCAAUCUUGAUAAUGUUGGUAUUUUCUUAUCACUUUUAUAUGACAUAUGUAGGUGACAGUUUGUGUGAUGAUUUCUUUAUUGGUUUCUUACAUCGCAGGUGCACUCUCUUGUUGAUGUGUUUCAUUUCAAGAGCAAUAAGUGGGUAGAUAUAUUUGAUACAUUAAAAGAAAUGGCUUAUUCACAUUUGGGAGUUGCAACUGAUGAGAGGCAUGCUCCCGCAAUUCAAUUGUGGAGGGGAAGACUCCAUGUCAUUGGUGGUGGUAAGGAGAAUCACCAUACAGCUGCCUUAGAUCUUGAGUCUAACUGUAAAGGAUGGAAAAGCUUUGGAGAAACAAUGGCGGACUAAAAUUCAUAUUCCACGAGGUGGACCACAUAGUUGGAAGGAACCCCUUAUGUAUAUCCUCUAUCAAACUCGUUUACGAAGACUCCUGUCAAAAGUGCAAUUAAUGGAUUUCAGGCACCAUCAAAUCUGGGAUAUACUACUCAAUAUAGCACUGAUGGAUUCAGGGAUUAUGAUAAAUUAGUGAUUGACUAUCUGUAGAAGCAUUCAAAUACGAGAGUCAUUAUCUGCAGCAACAUUCAAACUCAUCGAUUUGGACUGCAGUAGAGGUUGCCUUGCUAAUUGUGUCUCGUCGUUCUCUUGAAAUUAAAAUGUCUGUUGUGAUAAAAGCUCUUGAUGUGUGCGAACCCGACCUUGGUUAUGCUCCAUUGCCGCUUCAGUGUCUGCUGUGUUCUGUGAGUUGCAUUCCAUAGUGUAGUUUUUGCUCAAUACGAUUUAGAUUUUGUUGAAGUUCUCAAUGAUGAGUAUGUGUUCGCUGUUUCAAAAGUGAUUGUUAUGUAUUUUUUUAGUGGUUGUUCUCCCUUUCACUACUUGAUAUAUUUUACUUGUAAUAAUCAUUGUGUUGCAGUGAAAGAUGAACGAUUUGCACUUUAAAAUUAUGAGAAACAUGUCCUAGAUUUUGCUCUUUCACAUUGUCAGAUAAUUUUAAUUCAGCUCACUAGGAUUCCUUGAAUGUGAUGUGCCCGCAGAUUUAAAAUGAUGUAAUUAUUGUUGGUUUGCUCCUUAUAAUUGAGAGAAACCCGGUGUAAAUUAUGUUCCUUUAACAGUAUAUUGGAUUUGUUCCGUAAAGCCGCUGUGAAGUGGCUCCUUAAAACUGCCUGGAAAUAAUAUCCGACUUAUUAAGUCGGUUUAUAUAUAACAGACCUAAGAAUAUUUUCUUAAGUCAGGUCCAAAUUCGACUUAAGAAGUCAAAACUUCUUAUGUCGGCAACUCUUAGGUCAGGCUUGGAACUGAUUUAAGAAGUCGAUUUUAACCGACUUAACAAGUGUUUUUUCUACUAGUGAGAGAAAAAGGGAUAUGCACUGACAGUGUAAAGUUAUUUUACACUAUCAACCAAUCACAAUCAUGUAUCCAAUUAAAACACAAUUUUAAUUUAAAAAAACUAAUAUGACAUGACAAGUGUAAGGAUUUUGAUUGGUUGUAUGUGUAAAGUUUGUUUACACUGUCAGUGCACUACCUUUAAACUCUAAAUAUAAUUUAUCGGAAUAUAUGGAUUUUUUGGGUUUCAGGUGAUUGGUGAUCUUGUGUGGUGAAAUAAGUUCUAACCAGUAUUUGAGAAUAGUAAGAUAGAACAAUGGUAUAAUCAAAGUGACAUGUUUAGAGUAAUUCUAAACAUGAUGCACAUGUGAUAUCACUUUCAACUUGGGAGUCCUGAGAAUAUGGGAACCUUAGAACCCCUUAAUCCAUCCUGGUACGUACUUUAGGAUGUAGUGUAGUGGCUAUUCUAGAGUAGUUUUGAAAUAGUUGAUACACAAUGUUAUACUUAGACGAAUUUCUUUGGAGAAUAUCAUUGGCCCCCAUGUGAAAGUUUGUAAUAUUCAAAAGAUGAAAUAUAAACU
Molecule: long non-coding RNA, 2628 nt
Organism: Vicia villosa (hairy vetch)
Lineage: Eukaryota; Viridiplantae; Streptophyta; Magnoliopsida; Fabales; Fabaceae
Exons: 4
Source: RefSeq, a predicted model, not a curated record